Molecule: transfer RNA, 70 nt
Filed under: bovine gut metagenome
Rfam family: tRNA
About the family: Transfer RNA (tRNA) molecules are approximately 80 nucleotides in length. Their secondary structure includes four short double-helical elements and three loops (D, anti-codon, and T loops).
Source: RNAcentral
ACUUGUAGCUCAGUUGGAUAGAGCAACGGCCUUCUAAGCCGUGGGUCGAGGGUUCGAAUCCCCCCAGGUU